This 497-nucleotide ribosomal RNA is filed under the name uncultured bacterium. Its description in RNAcentral is "partial 16S ribosomal RNA". It matches the Rfam family "Bacterial small subunit ribosomal RNA", at positions 28 to 507 of the family's 1533-position model. The record is from RNAcentral.
GAUGAACGCUGGCGGCGUGCCUAAUACAUGCAAGUCGAGCGAACGGACGAGAAGCUUGCUUCUCUGAUGUUAGCGGCGGACGGGUGAGUAACACGUGGAUAACCUACCUAUAAGACUGGGAUAACUUCGGGAAACCGGAGCUAAUACCGGAUAAUAUUUUGAACCGCAUGGUUCAAAAGUGAAAGACGGUCUUGCUGUCACUUCUAGCUGGAUCCGCGCUGCAUUAGCUAGUUGGUAAGGUAACGGCUUACCAAGGCAACGAUGCAUAGCCGACCUGAGAGGGUGAUCGGCCACACGGGAGCUGGGACACGGUCCAGACUCCUGCGGGAGGCAGCAGUAGGGAAUCGUCCGCAGUGGGCGAAAGCCUGACGGAGCAACGCCGCGUGAGUGAUGAAGGUCUUCGGAGCGUAAAACUCUGUUAUUAGUGAAGAACAGAUGUGUAAGUAACUGUGCACAUCUUGACGGUACCUAAUCAGAAAGCCACGGCUAACUACGUG